CCUACGGGUGGCUGCAGUGGGGAAUAUUGGACAAAGGGGGGAACCCUGAUCCAGCCAUGCCGCGUGUGUGAAGAAGGCCCUCGGGUUGUAAAGCACUUUCAGUGAGGAAGAACGCCUGGUGGUUAAUACCCAUCAGGAAAGACAUCACUCACAGAAGAAGCACCGGCUAACUCCGUGCCAGCAGCCGCGGUAAUACGGAGGGUGCGAGCGUUAAUCGGAAUUACUGGGCGUAAAGCGCGCGUAGGUGGCUUGAUAAGCCGGUUGUGAAAGCCCCGGGCUCAACCUGGGAACGACAUCCGGAACUGUCAAGCUAGAGUGCAGGAGAGGAAGGUAGAAUUCCCGGUGUAGCGGUGAAAUGCGUAGAGAUCGGGAGGAAUACCAGUGGCGAAGGCGGCCUUCUGGACUGACACUGACACUGAGGUGCGAAAGCGUGGGUAGCAAACAGGAUUAGAUACCCGAGUAGUC
This 465-nucleotide ribosomal RNA is filed under the name Vreelandella stevensii. RNAcentral's name for it is "partial 16S ribosomal RNA". It matches the Rfam family "Bacterial small subunit ribosomal RNA", at positions 338 to 795 of the family's 1533-position model. Lineage: Bacteria; Pseudomonadati; Pseudomonadota; Gammaproteobacteria; Oceanospirillales; Halomonadaceae. The record is from RNAcentral.